RNAcentral lists this ribosomal RNA (530 nucleotides) under uncultured bacterium. RNAcentral's name for it is "bacterial SSU rRNA". It matches the Rfam family "Bacterial small subunit ribosomal RNA", at positions 8 to 521 of the family's 1533-position model. The record is from RNAcentral.
AGAGUUUGAUCCUGGCUCAGAUUGAACGCUGGCGGCGUGCUUAACACAUGCAAGUCGUACGCGAAAGGGACUUCGGUCCCGAGUAAAGUGGCGCACGGGUGAGUAACACGUGGAUAAUCUGCCUCUAUGAUGGGGAUAACAGUUGGAAACGACUGCUAAUACCGAAUACGCUCAUGAUGAACUUUGUGAGGAAAGGUGGCCUCUGCUUGCAAGCUAUCGCAUAGAGAUGAGUCCGCGUCCCAUUAGCUGGUUGGUGGGGUAACGGCCUACCAAGGCAACGAUGGGUAGCCGAUCUGAGAGGAUGAUCGGCCACACUGGAACUGAAACACGGUCCAGACUCCUACGGGAGGCAGCAGUGGGGAAUAUUGCGCAAUGGGCGAAAGCCUGACGCAGCGACGCCGCGUGAGGGAUGAAGGUCUUCGGAUCGUAAACCUCUGUCAGAAGGGAAGAAACUAGGGUGCUCUAAUCAUCAUCCUACUGACGGUACCUUCAAAGGAAGCACCGGCUAACUCCGUGCCAGCAGCCGCGGU